UUUACGACAGCACCAGCGUCUUUACGGCCGCCGCUUUCUCACAACAUCAGACAACAUGGCUGCUGCGGAGCCGCGUCCCGCUGCUGGAGCGGUGUUGGCGGAGAACCAGGAGAGCUCUGCGGCGGAGACAGAUGCCGGGCCACCGGGAGCCGCCCCCCGGGACAAGCCCGUGUGUCUCAUCGUCCUCGGCAUGGCGGGGUCCGGGAAGACCACCUUCGUCCAGCGGCUGACUGCUCAUCUCCACUCUGUGAAAGCUCCCCCGUACGUCAUCAACCUGGACCCGGCCGUCCACGAGGUCCCGUUCCCCGCCAACAUCGACAUCAGAGACACUGUGAACUACAAGGAGGUGAUGAAGCAGUACGGCCUCGGACCGAACGGGGGCAUCGUGACAUCACUCAACCUGUUCGCCACACGCUUUGAUCAGGUGAUGCAUUUCUUGGAGAAGAAGCAGCAGAGCCACCGCUACGUGCUGAUCGACACGCCGGGUCAGAUCGAAGUCUUCACCUGGUCAGCGUCUGGGACCAUCAUCACAGAGACUCUGGCCUCGUCUUUCCCCUGCGUGGUGAUCUAUGUGAUGGACACGUCCCGCAGCGUCAGCCCCGUCACCUUCAUGUCCAACAUGCUGUAUGCCUGCAGUAUCCUCUACAAGACCAAGCUGCCUUUCAUCGUCGCCAUGAACAAAACCGACAUCAUCGACCACAGCUUCGCGGUGGAGUGGAUGCAGGACUUUGAGGUGUUCCAGGACGCUUUGAACCAGGAGACGUCUUACGUCAGCAACCUGACGCGCUCCAUGAGCCUGGUGCUGGACGAGUUCUACGCCCACCUGAGGGUGGUGGGCGUGUCCGCGGUGACAGGGAGCGGCUUGGACGAGCUGUUCGUCCAGGUGGAGGACGCCGCUGAUGAAUACGAGAGGGAGUAUCGACCUGAGUACGAAAGACUCCGCAAACAGCUGGCGGAGGCUCAGAGCAGGAAGCAGCAGGAGCAGCUGAAGCGACUCAGGAAGGACCUGGGAGCCGUCGACAUGGCGACCGCAGCACCAACAGAGGCAGCUGACACGCCCAGCUCCAGUGACCUCAUCAUGUCACGCGGUAACCCUGACGACAGCGAGGAGGACGAGGACAGCGACACGGACGACAUUGAUCACAGCGCAACGGAGGAAAGCAAAGAGGUCGACGCCUUUGGAAACUUCCUGAAGGAGAGGAAGGAAGUGGUUCAGGUCCGAAACAGAAAGUGUGCCGUGCCCGAUGACCCCUGACCUCACUGUCUGGACCGAAGACACUGACUGUACAUCUGAACUCUAUGAAGCUGCACUUCCUGUCUGAUCAGCUGGUAGGAGCUGAAGAGCUGAGUCACUUCCCCCGCAUGGAAGGAGAGGAGGUGGAACAGAACCACUACUUUUAGGCCCCCUGUGGACCAUCUGCUAGCCCCUCCUCCUUCAGGCAAACCCAAAAGCUCAGGACAUUUCAUGACCUACACAAGCUGCUCAGAUGGUCCAACUCCUCCAUGCUGCCGUUGGAUGUCCCCCACUGAUGUCCAACAUUGAAGUCUUUUGUCCAAAGUGACUUACAAUAAGUCCAUUUCACCCACACGGAAACAAACCCAGAAGAACAAAGUGCCGUUUCAUCACAGAAGUCCACUUACAUCUUAAUGUCCAGCUAAAUGUCCACCAGGGAUUUCCAGCACAUUGUGAGUUUCAGAAAUGGCAUUUUAGCAAAUGGAUCAUCAACCCACAUCAUUCUUUCACUUUGAUGUGCAGGGUGUCUGAAAUGAAGACAUUAAACCGUCCACAUCAAUAAAUAUCCAUCAUUUUUCAGCACAUUGA
Pungitius pungitius (ninespine stickleback) is the source of this 1822-nucleotide RNA transcript. It is a transcript of the gene named GPN-loop GTPase 1, with no coding region annotated. The transcript is spliced from 15 exons. The record is from RefSeq and is a predicted model, not a curated record. Lineage: Eukaryota; Metazoa; Chordata; Actinopteri; Perciformes; Gasterosteidae.